ACCAGACUCCUACGGGAGGCAGCAGUGGGGAAUAUUGCACAAUGGGGGAAACCCUGAUGCAGCGACGCCGCGUGAGCGAAGAAGUAUUUCGGUAUGUAAAGCUCUCUCAGCAGGGAAGAAAAUGACGGUACCUGAGUAAGAAGCCCCGGCUAACUACGUGCCAGCAGCCGCGGUAAUACGUAGGGGGCAAGCGUUAUCCGGAUUUACUGGGUGUAAAGGGAGCGUAGACGGCAGUGCAAGCCAGGGGUGAAAGCCCGGGGCCCAACCCCGGGACUGCCCUUGGAACUGUGCGGCUAGAGUGCGGGAGGGGCAGGCGGAAUUCCUGGUGUAGCGGUGAAAUGCGUAGAUAUCAGGAGGAACACCAGUGGCGAAGGCGGCUUGCUGGACGAUGACUGACGUUGAGGCUCGAAAGCGUGGGGAGCAAACAGGAUUAGAUACCCGGGUA
This 445-nucleotide ribosomal RNA is filed under the name uncultured bacterium. Its description in RNAcentral is "bacterial SSU rRNA". It matches the Rfam family "Bacterial small subunit ribosomal RNA", at positions 330 to 792 of the family's 1533-position model. The record is from RNAcentral.